CCAUGUUGUGAACGUUUUUAAGUGGGUCCCACACCCUUCCCUACUCUUUUUUUUCAACUAGUUACCACAAAUAUCUAGAUAUUUUUACUCCAUGUUGCAAGUUGAUGCAAGUGGUGAAAGAUGAUCAUUACUAACAACUAGUUACUUCAUUUUCUAACCAUUUCAUCACAACUUUUAAACCAUCCAUUUUCACACACAAACUCUCUCAUCAUCUUCAUCCAUUUCACCAAGAACACCAUAAAAACCCACUUCACUUUAGUCAUUUCUUUGAUGAUCAAGAUGAUUUUCUAUGGAACCAAAGAUGAUCUAAAGCACUUACAAGCUAAAGCAAGUAUUUUCAUCCAUUCAAGAGCAUUCUACCAUCAAGAUCAUCAUCUUCUUAGUUCUUAAUCAUCCUCUAGAUCAUCCCUAGCCUAGUGCUAGAAGUGGUGAUACUAUUCAGGACGACCGUACGUCAGAUCACAGUUACUUACCAUUCACGGACGCAAUUCUGAAAUUAGUGGACCAUGCAGACAUUUCAAUCAAGGAAAGC
This is a long non-coding RNA of Helianthus annuus (common sunflower), 532 nucleotides long. RefSeq lists it as uncharacterized. NCBI's taxonomy places the organism in Eukaryota, Viridiplantae, Streptophyta, Magnoliopsida, Asterales, Asteraceae. The transcript has 3 exons. The record is from RefSeq and is a predicted model, not a curated record.